UGUUAAGUUAGUGGCGGACGGGUGAGUAACGCGUGGGUAACCUGCCUUAUACAGGGGGAUAACACUUAGAAAUAGGUGCUAAUACCGCAUAAGCGCACGGGGCUGCAUGGCCCAGUGUGAAAAACUCCGGUGGUAUAAGAUGGACCCGCGUCUGAUUAGCUUGUUGGCGGGGUAACGGCCCACCAAGGCGACGAUCAGUAGCCGGCCUGAGAGGGUGGACGGCCACAUUGGGACUGAGACACGGCCCAAACUCCUACGGAAGGCAGCAG
This 269-nucleotide ribosomal RNA is filed under the name uncultured bacterium. RNAcentral describes it as "partial 16S ribosomal RNA". It matches the Rfam family "Bacterial small subunit ribosomal RNA", at positions 85 to 354 of the family's 1533-position model. The record is from RNAcentral.